This 511-nucleotide ribosomal RNA is filed under the name uncultured bacterium. RNAcentral's name for it is "bacterial SSU rRNA". It matches the Rfam family "Bacterial small subunit ribosomal RNA", at positions 34 to 518 of the family's 1533-position model. The record is from RNAcentral.
CGCUGGCGGCGUGCCUAAUACAUGCAAGUCGAACGGUCUUUCUAUGGAAGCUUGCUUCCGCUGAGAAGAUAGUGGCGAACGGGUGAGUAACACGUGGGUAACCUGCCCAUAAGAGGGGGAUAACAUCCGGAAACGGGUGCUAAUACCGCAUAGUUUUCUUGAUCGCAUGAUCGGGAAAGGAAAGACGGCCUUUGUGCUGUCGCUUAUGGAUGGACCCGCGGCGUAUUAGUUAGUUGGUGAGGUAACGGCUCACCAAGACGAUGAUACGUAGCCGACCUGAGAGGGUGAUCGGCCACAUUGGGACUGAGACACGGCCCAAACUCCUACGGGAGGCAGCAGUAGGGAAUCUUCCGCAAUGGACGAAAGUCUGACGGAGCAACGCCGCGUGAGUGAAGAAGGUUUUCGGAAUCGUAAAACUCUGUUGUCAGAGAAGAACAAGUUGGAGAGUAACUGCUCCAGCCUUGACGGUAUCUGACCAGAAAGCCACGGCUAACUACGUGCCAGCAGCAGC